GCCCCUGUGGCGCAAUCGGUUAGCGCGCGGUACUUAUAAUGCCGAGGUUGUGAGUUCGAGCCUCACCUGGAGCA
This 74-nucleotide transfer RNA is filed under the name Dallia pectoralis (Alaska blackfish). RNAcentral describes it as "tRNA-Ile". It matches the Rfam family "tRNA". Rfam says of the family: Transfer RNA (tRNA) molecules are approximately 80 nucleotides in length. Their secondary structure includes four short double-helical elements and three loops (D, anti-codon, and T loops). Lineage: Eukaryota; Metazoa; Chordata; Actinopteri; Esociformes; Umbridae. The record is from RNAcentral.